Molecule: long non-coding RNA, 6811 nt
Filed under: Xyrichtys novacula (pearly razorfish)
Lineage: Eukaryota; Metazoa; Chordata; Actinopteri; Labriformes; Labridae
Source: RNAcentral
UUUAUUGUACAGAUGUAGAAAUCAGUACAGAUGACAAACAGAGUCUCGACCAAGACCGAAGGAAGCCUCCCUAGCUUUUCUUCUACUCUCUUUUAUGCUGUUAGGUGUGUGUGUGUGUGUGUGUGUGUGUGUGUGUGUGUGUGUGUGUGUGUGUGUGUGUGUGUGUUCUCCAGAAGGUCCCUCAUGAUGGCAUGUCUGCCCCACGACACUUUGUUUAGGUUCGUCUUGACCCUGACAGAGAUUACAUGUUCCAACAGACAGAUAGUUCGGGCUCCUGCAAGACAGCCUUGCUUACAAUCUCAUGGUCGUGGGGCUGCAGGAGCAGGCCAACCUAGAUUAUUUGUAGUUUCUUACUAAAGGAUAAUUACUCUAUAUUUCUUAACCUAAAUGUAUGAAGAGAUUCCCCUACACAGUCCGCCCUUUGAAAGUUCUUACUUUCAUAAAAACCUGAUCAUCAUAUCAAACACUAAACAUCCUUACGUGAUUAAAAUAAAACAUGUUCACUAAAUUCUAAAUGCUAUAUGUAUGAUUUGCUGCAUCUAAGACUUCAUAAUACCACACGAAACAAAAAUCAAUACCAUACCAUACCAUAGCUAGGAUCAUUUCAAAUUUUAUCAGUGCGUAAGACUGAAAACCCUGCUCGGCUGUUUCAGCAGGGAAAGAAUCUUACAGCGCCGCGCCCUGGCGACCAUCCAUUUCCUGGAUGCGCUGACAUAAUUUCAUUUGCACAGCACAAGUGUGAACUUAUGAUAAUACCAUUACAAUUCAUUGUAGCAACCUGCGACAAACCCCUUGAUUAGUAUGUGAUUAACCCCUUGAUUAAUGUGUUAUUAGUGCAGUCCUUUAACUCUGCGAAUGAAGCAUGUUCAGUUCAAUAUCCCAGCUCAUUGAAUAUGUUGUUUGUGUUGCUCAAAGUCUAUUGCUCAUCUUUGUCUCUUUCAAUGUCCAGGAACCGUUCAGGUCCCUCAGUCCCUCCUUGAUUAAUCACACACUGUGCCAGCUGUUUUGGUGGCAUUUCCUGUAGUUCAUGGGCCAGUGUUAGGUCCACCAUAAGUCCCAUCUCCUCCGUCAGCUUCCAACAAUGUCUCCAAAGGAUGUGUACGAUGCGACAUGUGAGAAAGGAAAUCAGAAUUAGAGCUAUCACAGCACUCAUGGCUGGGCCAAAACGGCUCUCAUUCAUCUAAAAUUUGGACCACCCAGUCCAUCAACAGGCCCCCCUUACCAGCAUUCUCCCACAUUUCCACUUUUAGCUUUUCUAGACCCUCCAUAGCUUUAGAAAAACCUCCCCCAGGGGCUUGUUUUGUUAGAAAUGUAUCUGCAACAGUACUUUCAAAACUGUUAAGACACAUCUUUUCUCUUCAAAUACCCAAUUUAAUGCUUAUCUGUAUUGACAUGUUAUUGGACUUGUUACAUUUAAAUAUCCUUUAAUCUAAACAUUGAAUAAUUAACAAAUCAAAUCAAACAAUAAUUUCUGUCACAUAAUUGCUUAACUUUAGGUUUAAAAAAACAGCUCUUCUCUUAUUUGUAAAAAUCUGGCACAAAUCUCUUCUCCGUUUACCACCUCCAGUUGUUAUUUUAUUACCCCACAUGACUUUUCAACAUUCAUUUUACUUCCUAUGUGAUAAAUUCAUCUGGAACCUUUCCUUCGAUAUAUCAGAUCUACUCAGUGUGUAGGGCUCUCUUGCUUCUGAUUAGCUAUAUAAAAAAAAUUAUUUUUAAUUUUAUUAUCUAUUUUCCUUAACCUAAUUGUAAAUCUGUAAUAAUCUGUGAAUGUUGGCAUGGGUUCUAGCUCUGUCUGGAGUGGUGUGGAUUGUGUUUUGGGUUGCAUCGUACUCACCCGCGAUAACAAUGUCUCCCACUUCUUCUUCUCAUAGCUGUACUGGCACCAGUUUGACCUUCACCCUCAUUGUGGUUUCCAGUCUCUCUCUCGGUCUCUCUCCACACAGUGUCCCUCAGCAGCAACACCAGGAAAACAGUUACUUUCAGGACGAGUGCUACAGUCAUUCUGGGAGUGUCUCUUAUCAAGUCAUACUUCCCUUGUUUUUCUGGGCAGUCAGCGGUAGAUGACGCAACAUCAUAUUGCCCUCUUCCUGCACUGAAGUAGAGUUCACCAGGACCAAAGUAUUCAGGUCUUCUCCUCGUUGUUUGUGCCACCCUCCUCAAAGGACGUUGAUGUACACCUGGUGCUCUGGCUCGACUGGCCUCCACCUCUUGACUGGGAUCAGAUUUUGGCACUCCACCUGCUAAUCGAUAGAUCUUUGCAUCAUAGUUAGCUGCCUCAUAUAUUUAAUUCACUAAUUUUUCAGCUGCUCAAGCGAAAAGCUUAAUUGUUCAGUCGCAGUAAGGCAUAGCUUGGUUAGUUAGUAAUUCAUGCAGUGAAAGAUUUGUCACAGUGCUUUUGAUUGUGAAAGCUCAUAAGCGCAAGUAGCAAAGCAUCUUCCUAUAGGUUAGUGUUAGUGCAAAUUCUCUGAUCUGAUAUUUACUUGAGAGAUUAACUUUCUUCCCCAAGAUGAUGUACCAAAUCAUGCAGUGAAAGAUUUAUUUUGACUCCAAGAUCUUUUGAUGGUGUUGCUUCUAUCCAUCGACUGAACCCGUCAUCAUUACAAACAUGUAACAUUUUCCUUGGCAGUUUUAAUCAUGUCCACAUUGUCUAAAAGUGUCUCUCUGCAACUGGAAAAGUGUCCCACUAAUGUUUUAUUGGUCUCUUCAAUUCAUCUAAAAAGCACAUAUCACAAUGACCCAAGAGUUUAUCAACUAUUGUCUGCAUAUUCUAAAAAUCUAAGGUUUUAAUUGUCUCAUUUUCUCCCCCUUGCACAGUGUGAAUCACUGUGAAAGUCAGAUCCUAAGUUCGUUUGUUAAUACUACUGGUAGCAAAAUAGUUAUUUGACUUUAAAACAUUUUCUGUGGCCUUAUUGAUCUUUGAUAGCUUCCCAUUACUUUUACAUUAGGUGGCACAUCUGUGAAGAGUGUAUGCGGAUUCAGCACAGCUGAAUUUAGAUUUAUCAGUAUUAAACUAACAGAAUAGGAAUGUUACAAUGUUAAUGUUACGAUAUUUACUUAAAACUAUAAACCAUAACUGUCUACGUACACACCUUGCGGUGAGCACCAAAUUUGAAUGUUACUUCUACAUAGGGCUUUUCGGUCUAUAAGGUCAACAGGGUUCAAAUUAAAACUAACAAUUAACUUUUUCCAUCAUCCGCAAAAAUCACAAUGUAGUAAGCCACCACUUUCACAUUGUCUGGGCUGGGGCCCCCCACCACAGCUCCAGCCAGAGGCAUCCCUGGUCUGGGCAGUUGUCAAAAAUGUCUGGUAUGAUCACAUCCCCAGCAGGUCUUUAGACGUCACACGUCCGUCAGAAUUCCACUCUCUCCCCCUGCCAGGAUAUAUCAUCUCUAUGGAGCAGGGUUCUAUCUGAGAAUAAACAUUCACAACAGGUGAUUAAACAGGUUACUGUCACAGGCUUUACUGCAGUUAGCGUCUGCACGGUUUGCAUCACUGGGUCUCUUUUGCAGUGUCCCCCUUAGAGGUGGCCACCAUUGCGGCCUGAGUCUGUACUUUGUUUCUGCUUCGCAGGUCUCCCAGCUGUAGCUGUAUCAACUUCCGCUGAAUGUUCUUUUCCUGUUCUUUCAGUCUCCGCUCUUCAUCUGGCAGCACCCUCCACAUCACAUCACAAUAUGCAUUGAACUCACUCCCAUCUAUCAUGGGAUUCAUCAUCCAACCUUGUUUUGCCUUGUGCAGAAACUCCUCCAUCGUCUUAGUUCCCAGCAGUUGAGCCGAGUGCUUUCAUGUCUGGUGUAGUCAACAUUUUCCCUACAGUUGAUCCUCAAAAACUCGUAUCCAUCUCCCUGCCACCUGUUCAGUUUGUGGUAGUCUGGCAAUCAGCCCAACAAGGUGUGUGGUUUUCCACGGCACAUAGCUCGCCUGUGUGCCAUUUAUUAAGAUUGAAAACAUACUAUCAGUGCAUUUUCAGGUGAACAUAAUCUAGGCCAGGGGUGUCAAACUCAACCACAGCAACUAAAUCACAGCAAGGGCCAUAACCUGGAUUUAGGUCCAACCUCAGGGCCAAAGAGGGUCAACAUUUCACCAAAACUGUCAAUUUCCUUGUCAAAACAUAUGGGACAAAAAUAGCAAUGAUUUUAAAUCAUUUGGAAAUUCAAAAGACAUAAAUAAGUAAAAAAAUAAUAAUAAUGAUAAGUUUAAAGGCAACCUAAGAUAGAAAAAAUUAAGUUUUUUUUUUUUUUUUAGAUAUUUACACCCUACCAAUGCAAUUGAAGUUAAACUAAUCCUCCCUUUCUGGUCAUGGUUUUUGUAAAAAUGUAUUAUUCAAAUGAGCACACACAUUAAAACUUGAUCCCCAGCAGUUUUGUGAAAUUCCCCCCCAAAAAAUACACAGUAUAAAGCUUUUGCCUUAACUGAAUUUCUAUAGCAAUAGUCAGUGUUGAUAUUAAAAGCUUCAAUAAUAUUUAAAAAACACAGUAUUUUGGCAGAAACAGCAGAUGUAUAGAAGCAACCCUUAGAUUUGAAGUUUUAGAAGUUUUGGACUUGUGGUGCCUCAUUUCUUUUUCCCCUUUUUGUAUCUUUUAUACUUUCACAAACAUUAUUUCAGCAGCUUUAACACAGAAAAUUUGUUACGGAGCAUAAGACGUGUUCACAAAAAAAAAAUCAUCACAAUAUUGAAGCAUAAGCUAAAACCUUCAUAUCAGGAGUGUUCAUCAUGGUACUAGGAACAGAACCUCUUUCCCAGGAGUAUUUAACCUUCUAUGUCUCAACUGAUAACAUGUCCGCAAUGAGCACAGUAUUCACAUAAACAACUAUGAAAUAAACACAAGUGAGGAAGACACAGCAAUCUUUGACUAACAUAACACACACACAGAUGCAGAGUCUCGCCGUGAACACUGCCAGAGAAAUUAGUUGACACAGAGCAAAACAGAUACACACAAACAUCCAAUCAACCCACACAUUUCACUUUUUCAUCACACAAUGGUAUACACUUUCACACGUGUUUGAAGUCAAAGUCAGUCACUGGUGUCAGUCAGCAGUCUUUCACUUUAAAUUAAUUUAAGUGUUUUGUACUUUUUUUUAACAUUCCUGCAAUUCCUGUGUUGAGGAUCAGUCCUCAUUUUUUAUUCCUGAUUCUUGUUUUGAUUUUUCCAAUUUGUGUGAUUUUUCUACAAUUGGUCAGGAGAUAUGGGACGUGCUUGUUCAAUUGGGAUCCCUGAAUAGGCUUUUCAGCCUAUCCUUAUUGACCUCUUUUUCUAUCUCCUGCUCAUCAAGCCAAUCUGUAUCUGUAAUUUAAGUCCAAUUAUAACACUGAUUUUGUAAGGUCUUUGAUAUAUAAAAGAGAUAUAUAUAUGUACAUUUCAAAUAUGUACUAUUCCGUCAUUAUACUUAUUUGGCCCUCUAGAGUUCUGGAUCAGAAUUUAUGAGGAAAUAUGCCACUUUCGUUCUCCUUUUGGCUUUUUCUUAAGCCUCAGCGGAACUCCACAUGACAAAUCCUCCUUUCUAGUGGAGUUUUCCAGAAAGAAAAUCCACGUAUGUUUUACUAGAUGAAUCUGCUCGUCCGUCGGCUACCACCAAUUGAGCUCAUGAAAGAAUGACCUAAAACUCACAGUUCAACAAUGGACAGACACACUCGUGCCUGCCGCUCCCCUUGUUAUCCCAACAAUUACCCAGAACCUUUUAUCACCAGGCAUUCAGCCUAAAAAACACAUCACAACCCAGGCCAGGCUGUCUCCCCAAACUACUGGCCAGUGCUUCUCCGCACCCAGUCUAGCUAGUUCCACUUAACUACUGGCCUUGUGCCUCUCUGCACCCAGUCUACUAGCUUCACAUAUGUCCGUCUCACACAUAUAACAGCGUGAGGCGGUCUCACACCUUAAAGGAGACGAAGUGCCUUUCUGCACCCAGUCUACUAUCUUCACAUAGUCUUACGCAUAUAGCAGUGUGAGGCGGUCUCACACUUUAAAGGAGACGAAGUGCCUUUCUGCACCCAGUCUACUAUCUUCACAUAGUCUCACGCAUAUAGCAGUGUAAGGCGGUAUCACACAACCAACUGCAGUUUCCCCUAUAUUCAGCUGAUAUAUACCCAAUUUAAAUUGGCUUCCCUUCCCAAAUUUAGCACACUUUGAUCAGCUGACUGCAUGCAUGCAGUUUUCUCAGAUUGUCUUCAUUCCCACUGUCUCCUCUUAUUUCUAUUCUAGGUUCUUUGAUUCAAAGAGGACAGAGAGCAGUAAUCCGCACCACCUCACAGGGAAAAGAACUCUCAACCAAAUUUUAGGAAAUCUCCUACCUUUUUCUUUUUGUGUCGACAGAGUGUCCUUAUCCCAUGUAAAGUUCGCAGAACCAUGGUCCCUUGUCCCCCGAAACGAAUUCUGGCUAAAGCUCACCAUUAUGUUGUGGAAAAUCCAGCAUAAACAAUGCACAGGAGACAGGAUGAGAUCUGAAGAACAGCCUGGGCACUUCAUUGUACCGAUGUAGAAAUCAGUACAAAUGACAAACAGAGUCUCGACCAAGACCGAAGGAAGCCUCCCUAGCUUUUCUUCUACUCUCUUUUAUCCUGUUAGGUGUGUGUGUGUGUGUGUGUGUGUGUGUGUGUGUGUGUGUGUGUGUGUGUGUGUGUGUGUGUGUGUGUGUGUGUGUGUGUGUGUGUAUUCUCCAGAAGGCCCCUCAUGAUGACAUGUCUGCCCCACGACACUUUGUUUAGGUUCGUCUUGACCCUGGCAGAGAUUACAUGUUCCAACAGACAGAUAGUUUGGGCUCCUGCAAGACAGCCUUGCUUACAAUCUCAUGGUCGUGGGGCUGCAGGAGCAGG